RNAcentral lists this ribosomal RNA (250 nucleotides) under uncultured prokaryote. Its description in RNAcentral is "partial 16S ribosomal RNA". It matches the Rfam family "Bacterial small subunit ribosomal RNA", at positions 524 to 773 of the family's 1533-position model. The record is from RNAcentral.
UACGUAGGUGGCGAGCGUUAUCCGGAAUUACUGGGUGUAAAGGGCGAGUAGGCGGAUUGAUAAGUCAGUAGUGAAAAACCAUGGCUCAACUGUGGGACUGCUAUUGAAACUGUUGAUCUUGAGUGAUGGAGAGGCAGGCGGAAUUCCCAGUGUAGCGGUGAAAUGCGUAGAGAUUGGGAGGAACACCAGUGGCGAAGGCGGCCUGCUGGACAUUAACUGACGCUGAGGAGCGAGAGCGUGGGGAGCAAAC